This 301-nucleotide RNase P RNA is filed under the name unidentified bacterium CPB80. Its description in RNAcentral is "partial RNAase P". It matches the Rfam family "Bacterial RNase P class A", at positions 43 to 351 of the family's 367-position model. From Rfam's summary of the family: Ribonuclease P (RNase P) is a ubiquitous endoribonuclease, found in archaea, bacteria and eukarya as well as chloroplasts and mitochondria. Its best characterised activity is the generation of mature 5'-ends of tRNAs by cleaving the 5'-leader elements of precursor-tRNAs. RNAcentral also lists the same sequence under 1 other name. The record is from RNAcentral.
GAGGAAAGUCCGGGCUCCAUAGGGCAGGGUGCCAGGUAACGCCUGGGGGGGAAACCCACGACCAGUGCAACAGAGAGCAAACCGCCGAUGGCCCGCGCAAGCGGGAUCAGGUAAGGGUGAAAGGGUGCGGUAAGAGCGCACCGCGCGGCUGGUAACAGUCCGUGGCACGGUAAACUCCACCCGGAGCAAGGCCAAAUAGGGGUUCACAUGGUACGGCCCGUACUGAACCCGGGUAGGCUGCUUGAGCCAGUGAGCGAUUGCUGGCCUAGAUGAAUGACUGUCCACGACAGAACCCGGCUUA